This 231-nucleotide ribosomal RNA is filed under the name uncultured bacterium. RNAcentral's name for it is "partial 16S ribosomal RNA". It matches the Rfam family "Bacterial small subunit ribosomal RNA", at positions 333 to 561 of the family's 1533-position model. The record is from RNAcentral.
AAGUGCCUACGGGGGGCAGCAGUGAGGAAUAUUGGUCAAUGGGCGGGAGCCUGAACCAGCCAAGUCGCGUGAAGGAAGAAGGUACUUAGUAUUGUAAACUUCUUUUGUCGGGGAACAAAGGCGGAGACGCGUCUCCGGAUGAGUGUACCCGAAGAAAAGGCAUCGGCUAACUCCGUGCCAGCAGCAGCGGUAAUACGGAGGAUGCGAGCGUUAUCCGGAUUUAUUGGGUUU